UGGCCGAAAGUCCCGGGGAAACCAAGGGGGCGGGGCAGUCAGAAUGGCCAUCCGAGCGGAAGUGAGUCGCCAUAGUUACCGGCAGGCAGCCCUUCUUUUUCAAGUAGGGGAUCAAUGGCGUCGCGGGGCCGGCAGGGGCCCCAUGGCCGCCGCCCGAGUGCUACGGACCGUUCCCAGCGCGGUAGUCCUUCACAGAGCAGCCCAGUCGCUUGUCGCAACUUCCACAGAGAGCCCCUCUCAGGCUGCGCCCCAGCUCUUCCUCCUGGACAGAUGGCAGGCAUCCCAUCCCAACGCCCAGCUCUGGAAGACCCUUGAAAAGUGCCUCUUCUUCUAGGCUGCGCUCUGCUGUCUGCCGAAACCGCGCAUAGGCGGCGGUCAUCUGCAUUACCUGCAAGGCAGAGCUAAUGGUGCAAGGCGCAGCCAGUGCCCGGACAAGAGUCUUAGAAGAGCGAGCGGCUGCCUCUUUCUGCCAGCUCCAGAAAAGAGCUGGAAGUCCACUCAGUACGUUUUUGGGCCAGAGAAAAGCCUCCUGGCUCCCCUGUAGUUGCUGUUCUCCCAGUAUUUCUGCCAUUCCCCUUUUAACUCCGGCCUGACCCAACAAUCGACCUCGGACUGAGGCAAAGAAAAAUUCUCAAAGCAGCUUACAAAGAAAUAAUAAUACUAGGAAGAAGAUUGUUCCAUGUCUCCAAAGAGAGCUCCUCUUCGAAAAAGAAACAAGUCGCCAGAGAAACUUUAGCAACAGCCACUGCAAGAAUUCUGCCCUGGUACUGAAUAGGGACAGCUGCUCUUCCCCUGCUAAAUAUUAGAAAACCACCACUUUAAAAGGUGCCCCUGCUCAGUUAGCAUCAGGGGCUUACCUGUGAUGAUGAUCCCAAGAGACAUUCCUCCCCACUACCACCAUGCUGCAUCUCAGCCAUUCUCCAAAUUGCUGAGACACAAGCAAUGUAAUCUCUUCCCCAGAAGUGUGAAUAGCAAGGCUUUGGCAGAGCCUUCUGCCUUCUCCCAAUGGGCACCUCUGCUGUUCUGUCCCAUAACCAAGCCAAAACACAGGGCAAUGGUGGUGAGUAGCAGGAGCCAGGGAAAACCUCAGCUGUUCACACAGGAAGACUGGGGAUUGUGAAGAGCCCUUUGCCUGUGUCAUUUGGAAAUAGGUGGAGUCAAUAAAGCUGGCCCUGCAGCCCUUGCUCAGUUGAAAGUAUUAUUUCCUGUUAAACAUUAGUUGCUGAAGCAGCUUGUGUGUUUCGUCUUGCAUGUUGAACAAAAAGUUAUAUAAAAACCAUCAUAAUAAAAAAGUGAUUAAAAACA
Hemicordylus capensis (graceful crag lizard) is the source of this 1305-nucleotide long non-coding RNA. RefSeq lists it as uncharacterized. The record is from RefSeq and is a predicted model, not a curated record. Lineage: Eukaryota; Metazoa; Chordata; Lepidosauria; Squamata; Cordylidae. The transcript is spliced from 2 exons.